This 2938-nucleotide long non-coding RNA is filed under the name Marmota monax (woodchuck). The record is from RNAcentral. Lineage: Eukaryota; Metazoa; Chordata; Mammalia; Rodentia; Sciuridae.
CCACGGAGAGUGGACAAAUGGUACUUUCCACGAGUAACUUCUUCAGGAGUCGUACUGUCACAAGCAAGCUUGGUUCCGAUCAGGUGAAAAGGAGAGCUCAGAAAUUGUUUCUGAGAAGGGAUUGAUAACCCUUGCAGGAGCACCUCAAUUCAUGGCUAAGAAUGCAAGGGUGGGGGAAGAAUGACCUCAAAUGAAACAGGAGAUCUUGUAUGGUUCUGUGCAGUAUUAUGCCCUGGAAAGUGUGACAGCAUCAGCCCUUGCAGUAUUAAUAACUGGCAACAAUCAGGGAGGCAUUGUUGCAUGUAAUUUUGAGCCAAUGAAAUGAAAAUAGUAGUGAUGAUUGUUGGAAAAGUUAGUCUCUUAGGUGAAAGAAAAAGAGAAACAAAUAUUAAAUGAACAAAGAAAUAGGCUGAAGGCCUCUGAAAUCAAUUCUAUUUUUUUUAAUAAGCUGCCCAAUUUUCAGCUAUAAAAUUAGGUUUAAAUAACAGAAUUAGUAUACCAAGGUAUUUCGUUUGUUUGUGUUAAGCAUCCAAUGUAACAUAGUUGGGUUUUAUGUUCUUUGACAAUGAAGAGCAAUAUGAGGCUGGUUGUUUCAUCUCGUGGGCUGGGGAGGUUAAUGCUUGAACAUUAGAAAGAAGAAGGUGAUUAUCUAGUUUUGUGUUUUCUGUUAAAUAUGCCUGCCAAAACUACAAUUCUAACAUUGCUGCAAAAAUUGGCUUCUGUUUAUAUAUUGUUCUCCAGAGUAAGAGAUAUUUAGAAAUUUAAGUAAAUUCACAAAUUUGGGGUGGGGGGGAAAGAAAAUAUAUUUUCAAAUUUUCAGCCUGGAUAAUCACAAUUCUUGAUAAUGCAGAUAAAAGGAGAGUUAUUCUAAAUUGGUAGCAUCGUCAUUAUAAAUACAUUUAAAAAGAAGAAGAAGGUAGAUUAGUUAUUGUGUGUAAAUUAUAAUAGCAUGUGUGUCUGGGCCUGUGUACAAAUAUGUGCUUGCACUCAAUAAGGCUGCUCUUGAGGAAAGCUAACAUGAAGGUUUUAGGAAAUGGACCAUGUUGAAAAUCCUGCCAGCGAGCAAGGUGUACCUUCCAAUUUUUCUGAUCUCUAUGAUGUUAGAGGAACACCAAAUGCUGUAUUUUACUCUGAUUCAGUUAACUUUAUUUUGGUACUGCCAUUUAUAUUAACUUAAAGCAAAACUGUGCUUUUUAAAAACAGUAUUUUAUAAUUUUCCAAAACUAACCUCAAUUUGAAAAAGGUGUAAUGUUUCUUUACACCCUGGGGGUUUCCUCCCAUCAGACCAUGUGGGCUUUGGCCAUGACUUUCCAAAAAUGACAGGAGAAUCAUUCCACUGGAAACACAUUAACCCAAUACUCAAAAGUUCAAGUUGACAGGUUGAGUGAUUUUCCUCUUUUGCUUCAAUCAGAUUAUGGCUACCCAUGCCGUGGCCAUGGUAAAUAAAUGCAUAUUUGCACUAUCUUGCUUAAUGAGCAAAUCUGUGUGUCCACUGUUUCUGAUGACAUCUGGCAUUGGUGUGUAAAUUGUACUGUCCUGAGUCUGCAUGUUGUCCACACAGAUGUGUUUUUAGUUGUUUCAAUUGUGUUUAAUUCAUUUACUUCUUUGUAGGAAUCAGUGUUUCUGAACAUUUUUCAUAAAAAACAAAAAUUCCUUUUCAUUCCCAGACUUUCUAAGUGGAUAUACUUCACAGGUUUUUCAGCCUUUCUCUUCCUGUCUCUUGGUCAGAACUACUCAUGGAGGCAUUAAUCUACACUGUGGUCUUGAAAUAAAUGAAUUUCACUAAGGCUGCUAUGGAGAAUAAAAUCUUUGGUAUUUUUCUUAUGUAAGAAGCACAUUUGCAAGAAUCACAGAGAAAAUGACAAACUAAUGGUCUAGAAUUGAAUCACUGCUACACUUUUAAUAAUGCAAUGACAUAAAAACCAUCAAAGUAAAACUAACAAUUCAUUUCUUGCCCCCAGGAAAUAUUAGAAGGAGAUUAAUGCAGAUGAGUCACUAUUGCUUACACAGCACCUCUUCCAGGAGGAAUGCCUGACUGACACCAUAAUGAAGGCAUAAAUAGAUCCUAAUGCAGUUGUGAAGUCACCAAAGAAAAUUGUGCCCACCCUUGGCUGUGACCUAUAAUAAAUGCCUAUUUCUUAAGGGUAUAAUGCCCUGAUUCUCUGCAGAAUAUCUUUGCAGCUAAAUAUAUACCAGAGAAGCAAGCGUUAUAUUUUGAUCUGUUAUCUUUAAACACAUGAUAUCUCUUCAUUUUAUGGAAAAUUAGAUUUCCCUGUAAAUUGCACAGUGGUUUGCAGUCAGUCCAAGGUGGACCCAGAUAGGAUCACCACUGAUUCAAAGAGCUGGAAGGGUCCUAAAGAUUUGUAGUUCAAGUGUCAUAAACAUGUAAUAUAAACAUACCGAGAGUGGAGAAGAGACUUGCCCAGGCUCACACAGGAAGUUAACAAGAUGAACAAGGACCAGAACCCAUUCAUUUAACCAAUAUUCUCUUUUCAUUGUUCACCACUAAGCUGCCUGGAGCAUGGCAGCCUCUUGCUUCUGAUGAACCCUCUGACUUCCUAUCAUUCCUUCUUUGGAAUAUGCAAGAAAAGAAAACUCAUGGAAAAUAUUUCUCUGGAAGUUUCACAAUCUUGUUUCCUUGAACCAACCGCAGAAAGGUAUUCUAAGCAGAAUUCACACAUUUCUCUGGAAAUUCAUCAAAAUGCUGCUUUUGCCUAAUGAAUUUUUCUCAAAUGGGGAUGAUAAGUGCAGAGGUGAACUCAGAUCAGUCAUCAGUUUACCUACUAGGUGCAUUUUUUUUGUUACUGUUUUUAUUUGUUUAUUUUUCUUCCCCCCAGCAUUGGCUGCUGUUUGUUUCUACUCCCUACACCAUGAUGAACCACAUGAAAAACACAAAACCAAACAAGCACCUUCUCCUUUCUAAUGACAAACAAGUAAC